ACGGGUGAGUAACACGUAGGCAACCUGCCUAAAGGAUCGGGAUAACUAUCGGAAACGAUAGCUAAGACCGAAUAAUUGGCGCACUCGCAUGAGAGCGCCAUGAAACACGGAGCAAUCUGUGGCCUAUGGAUGGGCCUGCGGCGCAUUAGCUAGUAGGUAAGGUAACGGCUCACCUAGGCGACGAUGCGUAGCCGACCUGAGAGGGUGAACGGCCACACUGGGACUGAGACACGGCCCAGACUCCUACGGGAGGCAGCAGUAGGGAAUCUUCCGCAAUGGACGCAAGUCUGACGGAGCAACGCCGCGUGAGUGAUGAAGGUUUUCGGAUCGUAAAGCUCUGUUGCCCUAGACGAACGAGUCAGAGAGUAACUGCUCUGGCUGUGACGGUAUAGGAGAAGAAAGCCCCGGCUAACUACGUGCCAGCAGCCGCGGUAAUACGUAGGGGGCAAGCGUUGUCCGGAAUUAUUGGGCGUAAAGCGCGCGCAGGCGGUUCAGUAAGUUGGAUGUUUAAUGCCGGGGCUCAACCCCGGUACGCAUCCAAAACUGGUGGACUUGAGUGUAGGAGAGGAAAGUGGAAUUCCACGUGUAGC
This 590-nucleotide ribosomal RNA is filed under the name uncultured bacterium. RNAcentral's name for it is "bacterial SSU rRNA". It matches the Rfam family "Bacterial small subunit ribosomal RNA", at positions 102 to 679 of the family's 1533-position model. The record is from RNAcentral.